This 492-nucleotide ribosomal RNA is filed under the name uncultured bacterium. Its description in RNAcentral is "partial 16S ribosomal RNA". It matches the Rfam family "Bacterial small subunit ribosomal RNA", at positions 29 to 507 of the family's 1533-position model. The record is from RNAcentral.
AGUGAACGCUGGCGGUAGGCCUAACACAUGCAAGUCGAACGGCAGCACAGUAAGAGCUUGCUCUUACGGGUGGCGAGUGGCGGACGGGUGAGGAAUACAUCGGAAUCUACUUUUUCGUGGGGGAUAACGUAGGGAAACUUACGCUAAUACCGCAUACGACCUACGGGUGAAAGCAGGGGAUCUUCGGACCUUGCGCGAUUGAAUGAGCCGAUGUCGGAUUAGCUAGUUGGCGGGGUAAAGGCCCACCAAGGCGACGAUCCGUAGCUGGUCUGAGAGGAUGAUCAGCCACACUGGAACUGAGACACGGUCCAGACUCCUACGGGAGGCAGCAGUGGGGAAUAUUGGACAAAGGGCGCAAGCCUGAUCCAGCCAUACCGCGUGGGUGAAGAAGGCCUUCGGGUUGUAAAGCCCUUUUGUUGGGAAAGAAAAGCAGCAGGUUAAUACCCCGCUGUUCUGACGGUACCCAAAGAAAAAGCACCGGCUAACUUCGUG